CAGCCGCCACGGUAAAACGGAGGGGGCUAGCGUUGUUCGGAAUUACUGGGCGUAAAGCGCACGUAGGCGGCUUGGUAAGUUAGAGGUGAAAGCCUGGAGCUCAACUCCAGAAUUGCCUUUAAGACUGCCGAGCUAGCAGGUGAGAGAGGUAAGUGGAAUUCCGAGUGUAGAGGUGAAAUUCGUAGAUAUUCGGAAGAACACCAGUGGCGAAGGCGGCUCACUGGCUCAUACUGGACGCUGAGGUGCGAAAGCGUGGGGAGCAAACAGGAUUAGAUACCCCCGUAGUCCCUGUCUCUUAUAC
RNAcentral lists this ribosomal RNA (301 nucleotides) under uncultured bacterium. RNAcentral describes it as "partial 16S ribosomal RNA". It matches the Rfam family "Bacterial small subunit ribosomal RNA", at positions 509 to 807 of the family's 1533-position model. The record is from RNAcentral.